RNAcentral lists this ribosomal RNA (377 nucleotides) under uncultured bacterium. RNAcentral's name for it is "bacterial SSU rRNA". It matches the Rfam family "Bacterial small subunit ribosomal RNA", at positions 1009 to 1364 of the family's 1533-position model. The record is from RNAcentral.
GGAAAAUUAUAGUAGAAUUUGUACAGGUGCUGCAUGGCCGUCGUCAGCUCGUGUCUUGAGAUGGUCGAUUAACUUCUAUAACGGGCGUAACCCUUAUUAGAAUUGCUAAAUAUUUAAUGUAAAAUUUUUUAAGUAUGACAGAGAAAUACUAAAAACUGCCCAUGAGAUAUGGGAGGAAGGUUGGGAGGACGUCUGGUCGUCAUGGACCUAAAUAAACGUGGGCUACAUACGUGCUACAAUGGUAAUUACAAUGAGAAGCGAAAAUGUGAAUUUAAGCAAAAUUCUUUUAAUAAAAAUUAUCUUAGUUCGGAUUGUUUCUGCAACACGGAAACAUGAAGUGGGAAUCGCUAGUAAUCGCGUAUCAGCAUGAUGCGGUG